CCUACGGGAGGCAGCAGUAGGGAAUAUUGCUCAAUGGGGGAAACCCUGAAGCAGCAACGCCGCGUGGAGGAUGAAGGUUUUCGGAUUGUAACCUCCUUUUGUUAGAGAAGAUAAUGACGGUAUCUAACGAAUAAGCACCGGCUAACUCCGUGCCAGCAGCCGCGGUAAUACGGAGGGUGCAAGCGUUACUCGGAAUCACUGGGCGUAAAGGGCGCGUAGGCGGGAUAGCAAGUCAGAUGUGAAAUCCUAUGGCUUAACCAUAGAACUGCAUUUGAAACUGUUAUUCUAGAGUAUGGGAGAGGCAGGUGGAAUUCUUGGUGUAGGGGUAAAAUCCGUAGAGAUCAAGAGGAAUACUCAUUGCGAAGGCGACCUGCUAGAACAUAACUGACGCUGAUGCGCGAAAGCGUGGGGAGCAAACAGGAUUAGAUACCCGUGUAGUC
Molecule: ribosomal RNA, 440 nt
Filed under: uncultured bacterium
Lineage: Bacteria
Description: partial 16S ribosomal RNA
Rfam family: Bacterial small subunit ribosomal RNA
Source: RNAcentral